AACGAACGCUGGCGGCAUGCUUAACACAUGCAAGUCGAACGGACCCUUCGGGGUCAGUGGCGCACGGGUGAGUAACGCGUGGGAACCUGUCGAGAAGUGGGGAAUAACCACUGGAAACGGUGGCUAAUACCGCAUGUGCCCCGAGGGGCAAAGGUCGAAAGGCCGCUUUUCGAGGGGCCCGCGUCCGAUUAGCUUGUUUGUGGGGUAAGGGCCUGCCAAGGCUGCGAUCGGUAGCUGGUCUGAGAGGAUGAUCAGCCACACUGGGACGGAGACACGGACCAGACUGUUACGGGGGGCAGCAGUGGGUAAUAUUGGAAAAUGGGCGAAAGCCUGAUCCAGCAAUGCCGCGUGAGUGAAGAAGGCCUUAGGGUUGUAAAGAUCUUUCACCCGCGACGAUGAUGACGGUAGCGGGAGAAGAAGCCCCGGCUAAUUCCGUGCCAGCCGCCGCCGUAA
This 453-nucleotide ribosomal RNA is filed under the name uncultured bacterium. RNAcentral's name for it is "partial 16S ribosomal RNA". It matches the Rfam family "Bacterial small subunit ribosomal RNA", at positions 29 to 523 of the family's 1533-position model. The record is from RNAcentral.